AGCAGCCGCGGUAAUUCCAGCUCCAAUAGCGUAUAUUAAAGCUGUUGCAGUUAAAAAGCUCGUAGUUGAAUUUCGGGGUCAGCAGGUCGGUCGUGCCACUGGUAUGAACUGGUCUCGCUGAUCCCUCCCUCUUGACGAACUGUGAUGCCAUUAAUUUGGUGUCGCAGGGAAUCAGGACUGUUACUUUGAAAAAAUUAGAGUGUUUAAAGCAGGCUUUCGCUUGAAUACAUUAGCAUGGAAUAAUGAAAUAGGACGUUUGAUCCUAUUUUGUUGGUUUCUAGGAUUGACGUAAUGAUUAAUAGGGAUAGUUGGGGGCAUUAGUAUUCAAUUGUCAUAGGUGAAAUUCUUGGAUUUAUUGAAGACUAACUACUGCGAAAGCAUUUGCCAAGGAUGUUUUCAUUAAUCAAGAACGAAAGUUAGGGGAUCGAAGACGAUCAGAUACCGUCGUAGUCUUAACCAUAAACUAUGCCGACUAGGGAUCGGAUGAUGUUAAUUUUUUAAUGACUCAUUCGGCGCCUUACG
RNAcentral lists this ribosomal RNA (522 nucleotides) under uncultured Glomus. RNAcentral describes it as "SSU rRNA". It matches the Rfam family "Eukaryotic small subunit ribosomal RNA", at positions 569 to 1092 of the family's 1831-position model. The record is from RNAcentral. Lineage: Eukaryota; Fungi; Glomeromycota; Glomeromycetes; Glomerales; Glomeraceae.